This is a non-coding RNA of Phoenix dactylifera (date palm), 1232 nucleotides long. The record is from RefSeq and is a predicted model, not a curated record. NCBI's taxonomy places the organism in Eukaryota, Viridiplantae, Streptophyta, Magnoliopsida, Arecales, Arecaceae.
CGCCCUGACAGACCCCAAAAAAUUUUAUUCUGUUCUCUAAGCAUCAUUCUGACUUAGGCAUCAGAGGAUCUCCACCGGAUACCCUCCGCCAAGAGAACUUCUUCGUUUUUGCUGUUUCAAGACGGAGCACGGCUACCGGACCAAAAUUCCAACAACAGUCAUCUGCCUCAAGUCUCAACCGAAUACAAUCAAAGCAGCCAAUCACUGAGUCCUCCAGCACCGUCACAACACUUGCUCGACGUCUAAGACAGACCGAUUCCCAACAGCAACACUUCCAUUUUUUCUAUUUUUAAAAUAUAAAAAAAUAAAAUUAUAUUUUUUAUUUAACUUUUAAAUAUAAAUAUAUUUGAUAUAGUUAAUUAUUUUAAAAUAUAAAUAUAUUGAUGGUUGCGAAAGAGGUAGUAGCAGCUGUGACAUGAUGGAGGCAGCCAGGAUGGCAAUAAUAUGAUAAAAGUGGCGACAAUGGCUACAACAGUGCAGCGGUGAUGGCGGCACCAGCAAUAUAGCAUGGGCAAUAUUGAAGGCAGUGAUGGUAUGGGGCAGGCAGCAAGGUUUGGAUGGUGUGGCGAAGGCGACGAGGUAGAGAGGUAGUGGUUGGGAGAUCACACCCUAACAAUGCCGAUGUCUCACCCAAAGUCUUUGACCAUUUCCCUACUUCUCGUUUUUAAAUUGUUUGGAGCUCUUUUAAGUAUGUUUUCAAAUUGAUUGAUUGAGGGGCAUGCAAGUAUGUGGCAUAGUUUGAUUGAUGUACCGAUCCAUAGUCAUUUCCAUGAUGAUUUGCAGGAUAUUAAUAAUGAAUUCCAGGCUUUCCCUGAUGAUCUUUUUUAAUCAUAGCUUCCAAGUUUGAUAAUUCCAUCAAGUGCAAACCAGCAAGAUUGGGACCAUUUGGCAUGCAAGGGUGCAGAAGCUACAAGCGGAUAACUUUGAGGUUAUCAAUAAAUUGCAAAAAAACGCCCUUGAAAAGUGCUUUUUAGAGCAUCCAGAAUCAUGCCAAUUGGAGUUGCAUAGCCAAAUGCUAUUAUGAUGAUACAUCAAGAUUUAUGUUUGAGACCUGAUGCCAUUUAAAUCUAGAACAUUAAGUUGUAGGUCUUACAAUGUCCUGACUGUAUUGUUAUUGAAGCUCUGGUGGCUUGAAGAGAAGCAAAAAACCCAGAGUUUGUUCUUAUUCCUCACGAGUAAAAAGCCAAACUUUGUGAUUCUCUUCAGGAAAAAUACAAGUGUUUCUCUGCCAA